Syngnathus acus (greater pipefish) is the source of this 986-nucleotide long non-coding RNA. RefSeq lists it as uncharacterized. The transcript has 2 exons. The record is from RefSeq and is a predicted model, not a curated record. NCBI's taxonomy places the organism in Eukaryota, Metazoa, Chordata, Actinopteri, Syngnathiformes, Syngnathidae.
UUAACACUGUAGCACAUGUGAUUUUAUUUUUGCAGAACUGAGCUUGCUCCCGGCUUCAAGUCCUCCUCGUGGGCCUUCUCCAGUGACUGGAGUUGAUGACAUACGGUAUGUGCUGGAGACUUAACUGUAUGUCCUGCACUAUAAACUAAAACAAGGAUAAACACUGUGACGAGGGCUGUCACAUAAUAAUGACAAAAGAGAGAAGAAAAAUGCCCAAAUAUUCCCUCUCUCAAAGCUACCAGACUGAUGCAGACUGGAGCAGCAGAGUACAAGAGAAGGUUUAGUACUGUAGAUGAAAAGAGGCAACAUAAAGCAUGAGGUGAGCACCUAAUUGAAUUAUUGAUCCGGCUGGGAAAAGAGACGAGCGAAGGAUGGCGUGUCAUGUUCACAUGAGGCUGGCGUGUUGUCGAACGAAGUGCAGAAGGACAGAGAAAAGAGGUAGAUUUCUGUCCAGUCCUGUCUCACCUUCUCUCUGAGGUGUGGCUGCCUCUGCAUCAACCCCAUCCUUCUCAGCAUUGCAGCGGAAUCCUUUCUUCUUCAAGAAGUUGCAAAUCACGAUACCCAGCAGGCCCGUCACACAGAAGAUAGGCACCAAGGCGAACACGGCAUACUCGGCCAUAUUCUCCUCAGUGCUGCGCACAAUGGUGUCAUUGACUGGACCUCCAGCGCCACUUAUCAAGUCUUGCCCCACUGUGCGUGCGCUUCUGCUGUGCACAGUCACUGGGGGGAGAAAUCAGAAUCCGAAAAUUUCCAAUCAGUUUUAAUUUGGCCUUUUGAGUUAUCAAGUUAAGGAGUUUGGGUGUUGAAUGCAACAGUGGGGGGAAAAAAACAUGCUUACUGUUUACACAGGGGUUUUUCGUUGAAUAACUUCCCACCCUAGCUUUGAAGUUUAAUCUGUGAAAAAAAAGAGAACAUAGCACAUUUGGCAGAAUGAAGGAAGACGAUACAAUGAACAAGCAAUAAAAAAUUCUCUGCAAGCUUCCUGA